CCUACGGGGGGCAGCAGUGAGGAAUAUUGGUCAAUGGACGAGAGUCUGAACCAGCCAAGUAGCGUGAAGGAUGACUGCCCUAUGGGUUGUAAACUUCUUUUAUAUGGGAAUAAAAUGUUCCACGUGUGGGAUUUUGUAUGUACCAUAUGAAUAAGGAUCGGCUAACUCCGUGCCAGCAGCCGCGGUAAUACGGAGGAUCCGAGCGUUAUCCGGAUUUAUUGGGUUUAAAGGGAGCGUAGGUGGAUGGGUAAGUCAGUUGUGAAAGUUUGCGGCUCAACCGUAAAAUUGCAGUUGAAACUGGCAGUCUUGAGUACAGUAGAGGUGGGCGGAAUUCGUGGUGUAGCGGUGAAAUGCUUAGAUAUCACGAAGAACUCCGAUGGCGAAGGCAGCUUACUGGACUGCAACUGACACUGAGGCUCGAAAGUGUGGGUAUCAAACAGGAUUAGAUACCCCAGUAGUC
Molecule: ribosomal RNA, 460 nt
Filed under: uncultured bacterium
Lineage: Bacteria
Description: partial 16S ribosomal RNA
Rfam family: Bacterial small subunit ribosomal RNA
Source: RNAcentral